This 465-nucleotide ribosomal RNA is filed under the name Vreelandella stevensii. Its description in RNAcentral is "partial 16S ribosomal RNA". It matches the Rfam family "Bacterial small subunit ribosomal RNA", at positions 338 to 795 of the family's 1533-position model. The record is from RNAcentral. Lineage: Bacteria; Pseudomonadati; Pseudomonadota; Gammaproteobacteria; Oceanospirillales; Halomonadaceae.
UCUACGGGAGGCAGCAGUGGGGAAUAUUGGACAAUGGGCGAAAGCCUGAUCCAGCCAUGCCGCGUGUGUGAAGAAGGCCUUCGGGUUGUAAAGCACUUUCAGUGGGGAAGAAAGCCUUGGGGCUAAUACCCUCGAGGAAGGACAUCACCCACGGAAGAAGCACCGGCUAACUCCGUGCCAGCAGCCGCGGUAAUACGGAGGGUGCGAGCGUUAAUCGGAAUUACUGGGCGUAAAGCGCGCGUAGGCGGUCUGAUAAGCCGGUUGUGAAAGCCCCGGGCUCAACCUGGGAACGGCAUCCGGAACUGUCAGGCUAGAGUGCAGGAGAGGAAGGUAGAAUUCCCGGUGUAGCGGUGAAAUGCGUAGAGAUCGGGAGGAAUACCAGUGGCGAAGGCGGCCUUCUGGACUGACACUGACGCUGAGGUGCGAAAGCGUGGGUAGCAAACAGGAUUAGAUACCCCUGUAGUC